RNAcentral lists this ribosomal RNA (494 nucleotides) under uncultured bacterium. Its description in RNAcentral is "partial 16S ribosomal RNA". It matches the Rfam family "Bacterial small subunit ribosomal RNA", at positions 28 to 507 of the family's 1533-position model. The record is from RNAcentral.
GACGAACGCUGGCGGCGUGCUUAACACAUGCAAGUCGAACGGUGAAGCGCCUUCCUUUUUGGUGGGUGUGGAUGAGUGGCGAACGGGUGAGUAACACGUGAGUAACCUGCCCCCUUCUUCUGGAUAACCGCAUGAAAGUGUUGCUAAUACGGGAUAUUCUGGGUCUGUCGCAUGAUGGGUCUGGGAAAGAUAUUGUUUCGGUGGGGGAUGGGCUCGCGGCCUAUCAGCUUGUUGGUGGGGUGAUGGCCUACCAAGGCGGUGACGGGUAGCCGGCCUGAGAGGGUGGACGGUCACACUGGGAAUGAGACACGGCCCAGACUCCUACGGGAGGCAGCAGUGGGGAAUAUUGCACAAUGGGAGCAAGCCUGAUGCAGCGACGCCGCGUGAGGGAUGGAGGCCUUCGGGUUGUGAACCUCUUUCGCCAGUGAAGCAGGCCUGCCUCGUUUGUGGGUGGGUUGACGGUAGCUGGAUAAGAAGCGCCGGCUAACUACGUG